This 103-nucleotide small RNA is filed under the name Marmota monax (woodchuck). Lineage: Eukaryota; Metazoa; Chordata; Mammalia; Rodentia; Sciuridae. The record is from RNAcentral.
GCCAGGUAUGGUGGUGUGUGCCUAAAAUCCCAAUUACACAGGAGACUGAGGCAGGAUCGUUGGAGCCCGGGAGUUCUAGCCUGGGCAACAUAGUGAAAAGCAC